RNAcentral lists this ribosomal RNA (620 nucleotides) under uncultured Ehrlichia sp. Its description in RNAcentral is "bacterial SSU rRNA". It matches the Rfam family "Bacterial small subunit ribosomal RNA", at positions 11 to 656 of the family's 1533-position model. Lineage: Bacteria; Pseudomonadati; Pseudomonadota; Alphaproteobacteria; Rickettsiales; Anaplasmataceae. The record is from RNAcentral.
GUUUGAUCCUGGCUCAGGACAAACGCUGGCGGCAAGCCUAACACAUGCAAGUCGAACGGACAAUUGUUUAUAUCUUUGGUAUAAAUAAUUGUUAGUGGCAGACGGGUGAGUAAUGCGUAGGAAUCUACCUAGUAGUAUGGAAUAGCCAUUAGAAAUGAUGGGUAAUACUGUAUAAUCCCUGCGGGGGAAAGAUUUAUCGCUAUUAGAUGAGCCUACGUUAGAUUAGCUAGUUGGUAAGGUAAUGGCUUACCAAGGCUAUGAUCUAUAGCUGGUCUGAGAGGACGAUCAGCCACACUGGAACUGAGAUACGGUCCAGACUCCUACGGGAGGCAGCAGUGGGGAAUAUUGGACAAUGGGCGAAAGCCUGAUCCAGCUAUGCCGCGUGAGUGAAGAAGGCCUUCGGGUUGUAAAGCUCUUUCAAUAGGGAAGAUAAUGACGGUACCUAUAGAAGAAGUCCCGGCAAACUCCGUGCCAGCAGCCGCGGUAAUACGGAGGGGGCAAGCGUUGUUCGGAAUUAUUGGGCGUAAAGGGCACGUAGGUGGACUAGUAAGUUAAAAGUGAAAUACCAAAGCUUAACUUUGGAGCUGCUUUUAAUACUGCUAGACUAGAGGUCGAAAGAG